UACGGGGGGAGCAAGCGUUGUUCGGAUUUACUGGGCGUAAAGGGCGCGUAGGCGGCCACCGCAAGUCGACUGUGAAAUCUCCGGGCUUAACCCGGAAAGGUCAGCCGAUACUGCGGGGCUAGAGUGCAGAAGGGGGCAACUGGAAUUCUCGGUGUAGCGGUGAAAUGCGUAGAUAUCGAGAGGAACACCUGCGGCGAAGGCGGGUGCUGGGCUGACACGUGGACGCUGAGGCGCGAAAGCUAGGGGAGCGAACGGG
RNAcentral lists this ribosomal RNA (256 nucleotides) under uncultured bacterium. Its description in RNAcentral is "partial 16S ribosomal RNA". It matches the Rfam family "Bacterial small subunit ribosomal RNA", at positions 524 to 776 of the family's 1533-position model. The record is from RNAcentral.